AUUGAACGCUGGCGGCAGGCCUAACACAUGCAAGUCGAGCGGAUGAAGGGAGCUUGCUCCUGGAUUCAGCGGCGGACGGGUGAGUAAUGCCUAGGAAUCUGCCUGGUAGUGGGGGAUAACGUCCGGAAACGGGCGCUAAUACCGCAUACGUCCUGAGGGAGAAAGUGGGGGAUCUUCGGACCUCACGCUAUCAGAUGAGCCUAGGUCGGAUUAGCUAGUUGGUGGGGUAAAGGCCUACCAAGGCGACGAUCCGUAACUGGUCUGAGAGGAUGAUCAGUCACACUGGAACUGAGACACGGUCCAGGCUCCUACGGGAGGCAGCAGUGGGGAAUAUUGGACAAUGGGCGAAAGCCUGAUCCAGCCAUGCCGCGUGUGUGAAGAAGGUCUUCGGAUUGGAAAGCACUUUAAGUUGGGAGGAAGGGCAGUAAGUUAAUACCUUGCUGUUUUGACGUUACCAACAGAAUAAGCACCGGCUAACUUCGUG
RNAcentral lists this ribosomal RNA (484 nucleotides) under uncultured bacterium. RNAcentral's name for it is "partial 16S ribosomal RNA". It matches the Rfam family "Bacterial small subunit ribosomal RNA", at positions 30 to 507 of the family's 1533-position model. The record is from RNAcentral.